UCUUUGGUAAGUGUUCUACAUCUCUUCUUUAUUGGUCUAAAAAAAGCAAUUCAAAUUCUCACUUUAUAGAUAGUCAAGAAUUUCAGUUUUUUAGUUGAAUGUUGAUUUGCUCUCGGAUUUUCAUCAAUCAGUUCUUACUCAUUGAAUAUUUUAAGUUGAAACUUUCUGAGAUUGUGUGUUUUGAUGUUAGCUUUCUAAAAAGAUAUCACAGGUUGAAAUUGCUUACAUAUUCAUUAGCAAAAUAAAUAAUAAAAAUAAAAAUUAAAUUAAAUUAAAU
This 277-nucleotide long non-coding RNA is filed under the name Physcomitrium patens. Its description in RNAcentral is "long non-coding RNA (PPAT_LNC002350)". Lineage: Eukaryota; Viridiplantae; Streptophyta; Bryopsida; Funariales; Funariaceae. The record is from RNAcentral.